AGCUCCUUAUGGAGCGAAGUCUUUGAUUCCCCGCUGCCAAGAAAAGCUUCUAGCGAGAUAAAAGGUGCCUGUACCGCAAACCGACACAGGUAGGCGAGGAGAGAAUCCUAAGGUGUGCGAGAGAACUCUGGUUAAGGAACUCGGCAAAAUGACCCCGUAACUUCGGGAGAAGGGGUGCUUUCUUAACGGAAAGCCGCAGUGAAUAGGCCCAAGCGACUGUUUAGCAAAAACACAGCUCUCUGCGAAGCCGUAAGGCGAAGUAUAGGGGGUGACACCUGCCCGGUGCUGGAAGGUUAAGGAGAGGGGUUAGCGUAAGCGAAGCUCUGAACUGAAGCCCCAGUAAACGGCGGCCGUAACUAUAACGGUCCUAAGGUAGCGAAAUUCCUUGUCGGGUAAGUUCCGACCCGCACGAAAGGUGUAACGAUUUGGGCACUGUCUCAACCAGAGACUCGGUGAAAUUAUAGUACCUGUGAAGAUGCAGGUUACCCGCGACAGGACGGAAAGACCCCGUGGAGCUUUACUGUAGCCUGAUAUUGAAUUUUGGUACAGUUUGUACAGGAUAGGCGGGAGCCAUUGAAACCGGAGCGCUAGCUUCGGUGGAGGCGCUGGUGGGAUACCGCCCUGACUGUAUUGAAAUUCUAACCUACGGGUCUUAUCGACCCGGGAGACAGUGUCAGGUGGGCAGUUUGACUGGGGCGGUCGCCUCCUAAAGUGUAACGGAGGCGCCCAAAGGUUCCCUCAGAAUGGUUGGAAAUCAUUCGUAGAGUGCAAAGGCAUAAGGGAGCUUGACUGCGAGACCUACAAGUCGAGCAGGGACGAAAGUCGGGCUUAGUGAUCCGGUGGUUCCGCAUGGAAGGGCCAUCGCUCAACGGAUAAAAGCUACCCCGGGGAUAACAGGCUUAUCUCCCCCAAGAGUCCACAUCGACGGGGAGGUUUGGCACCUCGAUGUCGGCUCAUCGCAUCCUGGGGCUGUAGUCGGUCCCAAGGGUUGGGCUGUUCGCCCAUUAAAGCGGUACGCGAGCUGGGUUCAGAACGUCGUGAGACAGUUCGGUCCCUAUCCGUCGUGGGCGUAGGAAAUUUGAGAGGAGCUGUCCUUAGUACGAGAGGACCGGGAUGGACGCACCGCUGGUGUACCAGUUGUUCUGCCAAGGGCAUAGCUGGGUAGCUAUGUGCGGAAGGGAUAAGUGCUGAAAGCAUCUAAGCAUGAAGCCCCCCUCAAGAUGAGAUUUCC
RNAcentral lists this ribosomal RNA (1231 nucleotides) under Bacillus thuringiensis. RNAcentral's name for it is "partial 23S ribosomal RNA". It matches the Rfam family "Bacterial large subunit ribosomal RNA", at positions 1572 to 2814 of the family's 2925-position model. Lineage: Bacteria; Bacillati; Bacillota; Bacilli; Caryophanales; Bacillaceae. The record is from RNAcentral.